RNAcentral lists this ribosomal RNA (460 nucleotides) under uncultured bacterium. Its description in RNAcentral is "partial 16S ribosomal RNA". It matches the Rfam family "Bacterial small subunit ribosomal RNA", at positions 338 to 795 of the family's 1533-position model. The record is from RNAcentral.
CCUACGGGCGGCAGCAGUGAGGAAUAUUGGUCAAUGGACGCAAGUCUGAACCAGCCAUGCCGCGUGCAGGAUGACGGCUCUAUGAGUUGUAAACUGCUUUUGUACGAGGGUAAACCCCGAUACGUGUAUCGUGUUGAAAGUAUCGUACGAAUAAGGAUCGGCUAACUCCGUGCCAGCAGCCGCGGUACUACGGAGGAUCCGAGCGUUAUCCGGAUUUAUUGGGUUUAAAGGGUGCGUAGGCGGUUUGAUAAGUUAGAGGUGAAAUGUCGGGGCUCAACCCCGAAACUGCCUCUAAUACUGUUGGACUAGAGAAUAGUUGCGGUAGGCGGAAUGUAUGGUGUAGCGGUGAAAUGCUUAGAGAUCAUACAGAACACCGAUUGCGAAGGCAGCUUACCAAACUAUAUCUGACGUUGAGGCACGAAAGCGUGGGUAGCAAACAGGAUUAGAUACCCCAGUAGUC